UGGGCCCUGUUGGCGGGAACUUCAGCUGGCAGCUAGCCGUCGAACCUUAUACAGCACCCCCGACGGAAGCAACUCUCUCGAUAUUGGAUUCCUUCUGCUCACUCUCACCAUCUUUCCUUAACAUUGCAGCACAUCCACCCUCUCUUACUUCCAAAAAUUUGAAGAAAAACAGAAGGAAUACAGAAGCGCGCAGCAGUGCUGGCUCUGUGUGAAGGAAAUUUUCGGCAGCAUGUGGAACUGGAGGAACGGCAAUGGAAUGAAGAAACGGAAAAUGAUCGCGCUGGAAUAGAAUCCAGUUUAAACGUGUAGUUGGCUGUUUUGCUCUCUUCGUUUUGGUUCUGAGAAGAAUUUCACUUCCGAGUUCGAGUACGGAUUUAGAGAUUAAUUCUUAGUGCUUUUACAUGGAGGAUCAGAGCUGUAGGAGUGGUAAUCAUGGUAAUGGUAGCGAAAACCAGUGGAGAGCUGAGGAAGCGAUUGCUGGAAACUCCGAUGCCCUUAAAGCACUGAGAGAACUGAUCAUUUUCCCACUACUGUUCUCCCAGGAAGCUCAAAAAAUCGGUCUAAGAUGGCCUCGAGGAUUGCUUCUAUACGGA
Molecule: non-coding RNA, 593 nt
Organism: Cucurbita pepo subsp. pepo (vegetable marrow)
Lineage: Eukaryota; Viridiplantae; Streptophyta; Magnoliopsida; Cucurbitales; Cucurbitaceae
Source: RefSeq, a predicted model, not a curated record